This 71-nucleotide transfer RNA is filed under the name Heterocephalus glaber (naked mole-rat). It matches the Rfam family "tRNA". Rfam says of the family: Transfer RNA (tRNA) molecules are approximately 80 nucleotides in length. Their secondary structure includes four short double-helical elements and three loops (D, anti-codon, and T loops). The record is from Rfam by way of RNAcentral. Lineage: Eukaryota; Metazoa; Chordata; Mammalia; Rodentia; Bathyergidae.
GUGGGUAUAGCUCAGCGGUAGAGCACUUGCCUAGCAUGUGUAAAACCUUGGGUUCAAUCCCCAAUACUACA